GCAGUAGCCGCGGUAAUACGGAGGGUGCAAGCGUUAAUCGGAAUUACUGGGCGUAAAGCGCACGCAGGCGGUCUGACAAGUCAGAUGUGAAAUCCCCGGGCUUAACCUGGGAACUGCAUUUGAAACUGUCAGGCUGGAGUCUUGUAGAGGGGGGUAGAAUUCCAGGUGUAGCGGUGAAAUGCGUAGAGAUCUGGAGGAAUACCGGUGGCGAAGGCGGCCCCCUGGACAAAGACUGACGCUCAGGUGCGAAAGCGUGGGGAGCAAACAGGAUUAGAUACCCCUGUAGUCCCUGUCUCUUAUAC
RNAcentral lists this ribosomal RNA (302 nucleotides) under uncultured bacterium. Its description in RNAcentral is "partial 16S ribosomal RNA". It matches the Rfam family "Bacterial small subunit ribosomal RNA", at positions 508 to 807 of the family's 1533-position model. The record is from RNAcentral.